AGCAGCCGCGGUAAUUCCAGCUCCAAUAGCGUAUAUUAAAGUUGUUGCAGUUAAAAAGCUCGUAGUUGAAUUUCGGGAUUGGCGCAUCGGUCGUGCCUCACGGGGUAUGAACUGGUGCAGUCAAUUUCUCACCUUCUGGAGAACCGCAAUGUCCUUAAUUGGAUGCCGCGGGGAACCAGGACCUUUACUUUGAAAAAUUAGAGUGUUUAAAGCAGGCAUUUUUGCUUGAAUACAUUAGCAUGGAAUAAUAAAAUAGGACGGCAUGGUUCUAUUUUGUUGGUUUCUAGGGACCACCGUAAUGAUUAAUAGGGAUAGUUGGGGGCAUUAGUAUUCAAUUGUCAGAGGUGAAAUUCUUGGAUUUAUUGAAGACUAACUACUGCGAAAGCAUUUGCCAAGGAUGUUUUCAUUAAUCAAGAACGAAAGUUAGGGGAUCGAAGACGAUCAGAUACC
Molecule: ribosomal RNA, 450 nt
Filed under: uncultured Glomeromycotina
Lineage: Eukaryota; Fungi; Glomeromycota
Description: SSU rRNA
Rfam family: Eukaryotic small subunit ribosomal RNA
Source: RNAcentral